AUGAUCAUGGCAGAGACAACAAGAUCAUCUGUCAUCCAAAUACAUCAGGACAAUUAUUCACCGCCGAAGUGGAGUUAUAUCGCGGAUAUGGGGUGCAUAGCAUCAUCAUUUUGCACUAACAUUUAUCCGUGCUGCCGUGCUCAACGGAAGUGCUUACGCUGCCGCCCUUGCGGUCUGGUCUACAUCAACACACCGGGCCGCACCUGUCUGCAUGAGCUAUUUAUUGAGUAUGAGAAAGUCACUACUUGGGUAGCCCGGUUUUCUUCCAAAAAAUUGGAGGCAAAUUAUCAUCAGCCGCCGUCUGCGCUGGAUGGCUCAAUGGACAUGUGCACAAGUCGCCGGCACUACAGUUUGGUUAACUUCAAACAGCCAGUUGGGAGGAACCAUUGGCCGAGUUGCUGA
Molecule: ribosomal RNA, 402 nt
Filed under: Triticum aestivum (bread wheat)
Lineage: Eukaryota; Viridiplantae; Streptophyta; Magnoliopsida; Poales; Poaceae
Description: partial small subunit ribosomal RNA
Source: RNAcentral